CAGUAGCCGCGGUAACACGGAGGGGGCUAGCGUUGUUCGGAAUUACUGGGCGUAAAGCGCACGUAGGCGGCUUGGUAAGUUAGAGGUGAAAGCCCAGGGCUCAACCCUGGAAUUGCCUUUAAGACUGCCGAGCUAGUAGGUGAGAGAGGUAAGUGGAAUUCCGAGCGUAGAGGUGAAAUUCGUAGAUAUUCGGAAGAACACCAGUGGCGAAGGCGGCUCACUGGACGCGUAUUGACGCUGAGGUGCGAAAGCGUGGGGAGCAAACAGGAUUAGAUACCCGUGUAGUCCCUGUCUCUUAUAC
This 301-nucleotide ribosomal RNA is filed under the name uncultured bacterium. RNAcentral describes it as "partial 16S ribosomal RNA". It matches the Rfam family "Bacterial small subunit ribosomal RNA", at positions 509 to 807 of the family's 1533-position model. The record is from RNAcentral.